RNAcentral lists this ribosomal RNA (253 nucleotides) under uncultured bacterium. RNAcentral describes it as "partial 16S ribosomal RNA". It matches the Rfam family "Bacterial small subunit ribosomal RNA", at positions 524 to 776 of the family's 1533-position model. The record is from RNAcentral.
UACGUAGGGGGCUAGCGUUGUCCGGAAUCAUUGGGCGUAAAGCGCGUGUAGGCGGUCCGGUAAGUCCGCUGUGAAAGUCGGGGGCUCAACCCUCGGAUGCCGGUGGAUACUGUCGGGCUUGAGUACGGAAGAGGCGAGUGGAAUUCCUGGUGUAGCGGUGAAAUGCGCAGAUAUCAGGAGGAACACCAAUUGCGAAGGCAGCUCGCUGGGACGUUACUGACGCUGAGGCGCGAAAGCUAGGGUAGCAAACAGG